GAAUUCACUAGUGAUUCAGGCCUAACACAUGCAAGUCGAGCGGUAGAGAGAAGCUUGCUUCUCUUGAGAGCGGCGGACGGGUGAGUAAUGCCUAGGAAUCUGCCUGGUAGUGGGGGAUAACGUCCGGAAACGGACGCUAAUACCGCAUACGUCCUACGGGAGAAAGCAGGGGACCUUCGGGCCUUGCGCUAUCAGAUGAGCCUAGGUCGGAUUAGCUAGUUGGUGGGGUAAUGGCUCACCAAGGCGACGAUCCGUAACUGGUCUGAGAGGAUGAUCAGUCACACUGGAACUGAGACACGGUCCAGACUCCUACGGGAGGCAGCAGUGGGGAAUAUUGGACAAUGGGCGAAAGCCUGAUCCAGCAAGGCCGCGUGUGUGAAGAAGGUCUUCGGAUGUAAAUCAAGGAAGUUGGGAGGAAGGGCAGUAAAUUAAUACUUGCUGUUUGAC
This 447-nucleotide ribosomal RNA is filed under the name uncultured bacterium. RNAcentral's name for it is "bacterial SSU rRNA". It matches the Rfam family "Bacterial small subunit ribosomal RNA", at positions 34 to 473 of the family's 1533-position model. The record is from RNAcentral.